RNAcentral lists this ribosomal RNA (393 nucleotides) under uncultured bacterium. RNAcentral describes it as "partial 16S ribosomal RNA". It matches the Rfam family "Bacterial small subunit ribosomal RNA", at positions 523 to 918 of the family's 1533-position model. The record is from RNAcentral.
AUACGGAAGGUCCGAGCGUUAUCCGGAUUUAUUGGGUUUAAAGGGUGCGUAGGCUGUGCGUUAAGUCAGGGGUGAAAUGCCGUCGCUCAACGACGGAGCUGCCCUUGAUACUGGCGUGCUGGAGUACGGAUGCCGUUGGAGGAAUGAGUGGUGUAGCGGUGAAAUGCUUAGAUAUCACUCAGAACACCGAUUGCGAAGGCAUCUGACGAAUCCGUCACUGACGCUGAGGCACGAAAGCGUGGGGAUAGAACAGGAUUAGAUACCCUGGUAUUCCACGCCGUAAACGAUGAUGACUAACCGUCGGCGAUAGACAGCCGGUGGCCAAGCGAAAGCGAUAAGUCAUCCACCUGGGGAGUACGUCGGCAACGAUGAAACUCAAAGGAAUUGACGGGG